This 486-nucleotide ribosomal RNA is filed under the name uncultured bacterium. RNAcentral describes it as "partial 16S ribosomal RNA". It matches the Rfam family "Bacterial small subunit ribosomal RNA", at positions 28 to 507 of the family's 1533-position model. The record is from RNAcentral.
GAUGAGCGCUAGCGGCAGGCUUAACACAUGCAAGUCGAGGGGCAGCGCGGGAUAGCAAUAUCCUGGCGGCGACCGGCGGAAGGGUGCGUAACGCGUGAGCGACAUGCCCGUUGCCCGGGGACAACCGGUGGAAACGCCGACUAAUCCCCGAUGGGAUAUUGUGCCGCAUGGCACGAUAUUGAAAGUUACGGCGGCGACGGAUUGGCUCGCGUCCGAUUAGCUGGUUGGCGGGGUAACGGCCCACCAAGGCUGCGAUCGGUAGGGGUUCUGAGAGGAAGGCCCCCCACAAUGGGACUGAGACACGGCCCAUACGCCUACGGGAGGCAGCAGUGAGGAAUAUUGGUCAAUGGGCGGAAGCCUGAACCAGCCAUGCCGCGUGCGGGAAGGAGGCCCUAUGGGCUGUGAACCGCUUUUGCCUGGGGGCAAUAAGGGCGUCGCGCACGUCCGAUGAGAGUACCAGGCGAAUAAGCAUCGGCUAACUCCGUG